This 537-nucleotide ribosomal RNA is filed under the name uncultured bacterium. RNAcentral's name for it is "bacterial SSU rRNA". It matches the Rfam family "Bacterial small subunit ribosomal RNA", at positions 339 to 866 of the family's 1533-position model. The record is from RNAcentral.
CUACGGGAGGCAGCAGUGGGGAAUUUUGCGCAAUGGGGGAAACCCUGACGCAGCCACGCCGCGUGAGUGAUGAAGGCUUUCGGGUCGUAAAGCUCUGUCAGAGGGGAAGAAACUCCUGUGGUCGAAUAGGCCCCGGUACUGACGGUACCCUCAAAGGAAGCACCGGCUAACUCCGUGCCAGCAGCCGCGGUAAUACGGAGGGUGCAAGCGUUGUUCGGAAUUAUUGGGCGUAAAGCGCGUGUAGGCGGUCUGUUAAGUCUGAUGUGAAAGCCCCGGGCUCAACCCGGGAAGUGCAUUGGAUACUGGCAGACUUGAGUACGGGAGAGGGGAGUGGAAUUCCGAGUGUAGGGGUGAAAUCCGUAGAUAUUCGGAGGAACACCGGUGGCGAAGGCGGCUUCCUGGACCGAUACUGACGCUGAGACGCGAAAGCGUGGGGAGCAAACAGGAUUAGAUACCCUGGUAGUCCACGCCGUAAACGAUGGGUACUAGGUGUCGCGGGUAUUGACCCCUGCGGUGCCGAAGCUAACGCAUUAAGUA